AGAAUCAACGCUGGCGGCGUGCCUAACACAUGCAAGUCGAACGGAGAAAGUGGAGCAAUCCAUGAGUAAAGUGGCGACCGGGUGAGUAACACGUGACUAACCUACCUUCGAGUGGGGGAUAACCUCGGGAAACCGAGGCUAAUACCGCAUAACAUCGUGAGAUCAAAGCAGUAAUGCGCUGGAAGAGGGGGUCGCGGCUGAUUAGCUAGUUGGCGGGGUAAUGGCCCACCAAGGCGAAGAUCGGUA
This 246-nucleotide ribosomal RNA is filed under the name uncultured bacterium. RNAcentral's name for it is "partial small subunit ribosomal RNA". It matches the Rfam family "Bacterial small subunit ribosomal RNA", at positions 26 to 285 of the family's 1533-position model. The record is from RNAcentral.